This 253-nucleotide ribosomal RNA is filed under the name uncultured bacterium. Its description in RNAcentral is "partial 16S ribosomal RNA". It matches the Rfam family "Bacterial small subunit ribosomal RNA", at positions 524 to 776 of the family's 1533-position model. The record is from RNAcentral.
UACGUAGGGGGCAAGCGUGGUCCGGAAUUACUGGGUGUAAAGGGAGCGUAGGCGGGGUGAUAAGGCAGAAGUGAAAAUUAUGGGCUCAACUCAUAACCUGCUUUUGAAACUGUCGCUCUUGAGUGUAGUAGAGGCAAGCGGAAUUCCUAGUGUAGCGGUGAAAUGCGUAGAUAUUAGGAGGAACACCAGCGGCGAAGGCGGCUUGCUGGGCUUUUACUGUCGACGAGGCUCGAAAGCGUGGGGAGCAGACAGG